RNAcentral lists this ribosomal RNA (250 nucleotides) under uncultured bacterium. RNAcentral describes it as "partial 16S ribosomal RNA". It matches the Rfam family "Bacterial small subunit ribosomal RNA", at positions 524 to 773 of the family's 1533-position model. The record is from RNAcentral.
UACGAAGGGGGCGAGCGUUGUUCGGAAUUACUGGGCGUAAAGCGUGCGUAGGCGGUUUGUUAAGUCUGCUGUGAAAGCCCCGGGCUCAACCUGGGAAUGGCAGUGGAUACUGGCAAACUCGAGUGUGGUAGAGGAAGGUGGAAUUCCCGGUGUAGCGGUGAAAUGCGUAGAGAUCGGGAGGAACAUCAGUGGCGAAGGCGGCCUUCUGGACCAACACUGACGCUCAGGCACGAAAGCGUGGGGAGCAAAC